Pomacea canaliculata is the source of this 499-nucleotide long non-coding RNA. RefSeq lists it as uncharacterized. The record is from RefSeq and is a predicted model, not a curated record. The transcript is spliced from 3 exons. NCBI's taxonomy places the organism in Eukaryota, Metazoa, Mollusca, Gastropoda, Architaenioglossa, Ampullariidae.
GUAGAAACUCGGACCCGCCGUCUGCGACAUUUAUACGGUGGAUAAACGGAACAGUCGACGGGAAUGGCCUCCCCGGAAUUGGGUGUGAAGACGUGGCAGCCGGUAGAGGGCGUUUUGUUGUCGUCUGCCGAUACCCUUGUCAGUUUGGAUCUCAUGUCAGCGGUCUAUCCUCACAGACAUAAUGAUCAAUUUAAAGAGGAUGUAAUUAGAUUUAAAGUUCUGGAGGAAAGAAAGACUGCUGAAGUUCGUCGAUCGGAUGUGGUUCAAAUGACCAGAAGCGAAUCUAGGAGAGUUUUGUACGAGCUGCCACGUUUAUAUAUGAGAAACAUACUGAGGCGGAAGACUAAAGGGGCAUAACUGUCACCGGACUUCUUUUUCCUUGAGGCCAGUACAUCGUUUAACUGACAAAACAGUAAACCGUCAGCAACACUUAGGGCCAUCAUUCGAUAGAUGUGAUUCCAGAUUUUAACAGGGACACCGAGACACGACAUGGUGUCUG